GAUGAACGCUGGCGGCGUGCUUAACACAUGCAAGUCGAACGAUGAAGCCCAGCUUGCUGGGUGGAUUAGUGGCGAACGGGUGAGUAACACGUGAGUAACCUGCCCUUGACUCUGGGAUAAGCCUGGGAAACUGGGUCUAAUACUGGAUAUGACUUCUCAUCGCAUGGUGGGGGGUGGAAAGAUUUAUUGGUCUUGGAUGGACUCGCGGCCUAUCAGCUUGUUGGUGAGGUAAUGGCUCACCAAGGCGACGACGGGUAGCCGGCCUGAGAGGGUGACCGGCCACACUGGGACUGAGACACGGCCCAGACUCCUACGGGAGGCAGCAGUGGGGAAUAUUGCACAAUGGGCGCAAUCCUGAUGCAGCGACGCCGCGUGAGGGAUGACGGCCUUCGGGUUGUAAACCUCUUUCAGUAGGGAAGAAGCGAGAGUGACGGUACCUGCAGAAGAAGCGCCGGCUAACUACGUG
RNAcentral lists this ribosomal RNA (466 nucleotides) under uncultured bacterium. Its description in RNAcentral is "partial 16S ribosomal RNA". It matches the Rfam family "Bacterial small subunit ribosomal RNA", at positions 28 to 507 of the family's 1533-position model. The record is from RNAcentral.